This is a non-coding RNA of Vicia faba (fava bean), 303 nucleotides long. The record is from the annotation of a GenBank genome assembly. Lineage: Eukaryota; Viridiplantae; Streptophyta; Magnoliopsida; Fabales; Fabaceae.
GAAUUGCAAAGAGGCAAGAAAAGAACACAAAAACUCUAUUCCUUUAAAUUAAAAAUCUAUGAAAAUACAGGUAUAACCAAAUUACAUAACACACAUUCACUCUUGAUGAUUAUCUCCUCAACAUUUUACACUCAUUUUUGGCCUUUUUAUUUUCUUUUCUCUAAACCUGCACAGCAAAAAGUUGCAAUAUACAAAACGCAAAUGUCCUCUCUCCUUACAAACCACAAGAAAAUCAAUAAAAUAAAAACCAUAAUCCUACUCUUCUUCAAUUUCAAUGGCACAUAUUCUCAAAUCCAUGCAUAG